GACGAACGCUGGCGGCGUGCUUAACACAUGCAAGUCGAACGGAAAGGCCCUGCUUUUGUGGGGUGCUCGAGUGGCGAACGGGUGAGUACACGUGAGUAACCUGCCCUUGACUUUGGGAUAACUUCAGGAAACUGGGGCUAAUACCGGAUAGGAGCUCCUGCUGCAUGGUGGGGGUUGGAAAGUUUCGGCGGUUGGGGAUGGACUCGCGGCUUAUCAGCUUGUUGGUGGGGUAGUGGCUUACCAAGGCUUUGACGGGUAGCCGGCCUGAGAGGGUGGCCGGCCACAUUGGGACUGAGAUACGGCCCAGACUCCUACGGGAGGCAGCAGUGGGGAAUAUUGCACAAUGGGCGGAAGCCUGAUGCAGCAACGCCGCGUGCGGGAUGACGGCCUUCGGGUUGUAAACCGCUUUCGCCUGUGACGAAGCGUGAGUGACGGUAAUGGGUAAAGAAGCACCGGCUAACUACGUG
This 467-nucleotide ribosomal RNA is filed under the name uncultured bacterium. Its description in RNAcentral is "partial 16S ribosomal RNA". It matches the Rfam family "Bacterial small subunit ribosomal RNA", at positions 28 to 507 of the family's 1533-position model. The record is from RNAcentral.